Apis laboriosa (Himalayan honeybee) is the source of this 920-nucleotide long non-coding RNA. RefSeq lists it as uncharacterized. Lineage: Eukaryota; Metazoa; Arthropoda; Insecta; Hymenoptera; Apidae. The transcript has 3 exons. The record is from RefSeq and is a predicted model, not a curated record.
GAGAGAAAGACUAACUAAAAAGGAAGAAAGGAGGGAGGGAAAAAGGAGAGAAGCAAGACGGAGACAAGAAUAGAUAUUUGCAUAACGAGACGCCGAUAAAUCAAUCUAUUCACGGGAGAAGGGAAUCUCUUAGCGAAACGUCGACCGGAAUAAACAGGGAAGACGAGAAAGGUGAAACGUGAUUUCGUUUCGAGACCCGUUUCGAUCAUUUCUGCGGAGGAUUCAUGCUAAUUGGCCGGUUGAGAUCGCCGGUUGAAUAUUCAGCGAACGGACAUAAAUGGGGAGAAAAGUGAAGAAGGCAUAGGCAAAAGUGAAACGGUAACGUCACAAGGUUCAAAGAAAAAUGCAAUCCUGCCGCAAAAGGUCACGAAAUAAAUAAUGCCGAGUUGACGAGUAGCCAGAGAUUUCUCCGGUCGAGCCGAGCCUAAUUUUCAAAAAACUGGAGAGGAAAAUAUCUAUGGAUCGGUAAACGGUUGCAAAAUAAUUUCACCAUCGAGGCCCAAAAACAUUGACCCGAUGAAACGAGGGUUUCGCAGUGUCACGGGCAACAAUUGCCAAACCUCCUCGUCGAGGUUUCUCCACGUUUGACGAGGAAUGACAAACAUCGCUGCGACUCGACUCGAUUGUUUAUAAUUCGUGGAUUACGUAACGAGAAAGCGCGUGCACAUUUUCUGCAUCGGUUGCUUGCGUCACGCGUCACAAUUCGUGGCUCUCCACCUCGCGAAAAUCUCAUUUGCGAUCCGAGCAAACAGAGCAUGGCGCGUGAUCUAUUUCGUUUCCCUUUUGCGCAUUUGUUUACGAUGUUCGAACGAUGAUGGCUCAUUGAGAAAUCGGUUUCGAGAUGUAUCGCUUCGCUUGUAAGCCGAGCCUUUGCGGUUCUACAAACACGAGAUGAGUUUCCCUAUGUGUGUGUUAAAUGA